GAUGAAGAACGCAGCGAAAUGCGAUAAGUAAUGUGAAUUGCAGAAUUCAGUGAAUCAUCGAAUCUUUGAACGCACCUUGCACCCUUUGGCAUUCCGAAGGGUAUGCUCGUUUGAGUGUCAUUGUACUCUCACACUUCCGAUCUUUGGAUUGGGAGCGGUGGACUUGGGUGUUGCUGCUUACUGUGGCUCACCUCAAAUCGAUUCGUGCACCUCUUGGUUGGACAUAGUACGGCGUGAUAAGUGUCUUCGCCGGCACCUCAGUAGAGGGUGGCUGAUCGGGAGCUCUGCUUCAAACCGUCCUCGGACAACAACUGACAACUUGACCUCAAAUCGAGUAGGACUACCCGCUGAACUUAAGCAUAUCAAUAAGCGAGGA
Molecule: unclassified non-coding RNA, 376 nt
Filed under: soil metagenome
Description: partial contains 5.8S ribosomal RNA, internal transcribed spacer 2, and large subunit ribosomal RNA
Rfam family: 5.8S ribosomal RNA (bases 1-120)
Source: RNAcentral